AUGUCGCCCAAAGCUCUGUGUUUACUUCUCACAGCUGCAGCUGUUCUAACUGGAGUUUGUCGUGCAGAUUCUGUGUCACAAUCACCGGCCGCAGUCACAGUGAACGAGGCGGAUGAUGUCCUGUUAUUCUGUAAUUACACAGCUACAUCAAAUAGCAAUCCUUAUCUGUUCUGGUACCGUCAGCAUUCCAACGGCUCCAUGGAGUAUCUGCUAAACAGAAACCAAUAUAUCACGAACACAGAGAAUCAUCCAGAAGACCGGUUUUCCUCGGAGUUUGAUCAUGUGAAACGCACUAUCCAGCUGAAAGUGUUGACAGCAGAACUGACAGACUUCGCGAUGUAUUUCUGCGCACUGAGCCCCACAGAGAUUCAGAACUGGGUUGUGUCCUUACAAAAACUCUCAGAGAGCAACUAA
Non-coding RNA from Hemiscyllium ocellatum (epaulette shark), 414 nucleotides. The record is from the annotation of a RefSeq genome assembly. Lineage: Eukaryota; Metazoa; Chordata; Chondrichthyes; Orectolobiformes; Hemiscylliidae.